Molecule: ribosomal RNA, 254 nt
Filed under: uncultured bacterium
Lineage: Bacteria
Description: partial 16S ribosomal RNA
Rfam family: Bacterial small subunit ribosomal RNA
Source: RNAcentral
UACGUAGGGCGCAAGCGUUGUCCGGAAUUAUUGGGCGUAAAGAGCUCGUAGGCGGCCUGUUGCGUCCGCUGUGAAAUCCCGGGGCUCAACCCCGGGCCUGCAGUGGAUACGGGCUGGCUAGAGGCAGGCAGGGGAGAACGGGAAUUCCUGGUGUAGCGGUGAAAUGACGCAGAUAUCAGGAGGAACACCGGUGGCGAAGGCGGUUCUCUGGGCCUGUACUGACGUGAGGAGCGAAAGCGUGGGGAGCAAACAGG